GUGGGGAAUUUUGGACAAUGGGCGAAAGCCUGAUCCAGCAAUGCCGCGUGCAGGAUGAAGGCCCUCGGGUUGUAAACUGCUUUUGUACGGAACGAAAAGCCUGGGGCUAAUAUCCCCGGGUCAUGACGGUACCGUAAGAAUAAGCACCGGCUAACUACGUGCCAGCAGCCGCGGUAAUACGUAGGGUGCAAGCGUUAAUCGGAAUUACUGGGCGUAAAGCGUGCGCAGGCGGUUUUGUAAGACAGUGGUGAAAUCCCCGGGCUCAACCUGGGAACUGCCAUUGGGACUGCAAGGCUAGAGUGCGGCAGAGGGGGAUGGAAUUCCGCGUGUAGCAGUGAAAUGCGUAGAUAUGCGGAGGAACACCGAUGGCGAAGGCAAUCCCCUGGGCCUGCACUGACGCUCAUGCACGAAAGCGUGGGGAGCAAACAGGAUUAGAAACCCGUGUAGUCC
Molecule: ribosomal RNA, 450 nt
Filed under: uncultured bacterium
Lineage: Bacteria
Description: partial 16S ribosomal RNA
Rfam family: Bacterial small subunit ribosomal RNA
Source: RNAcentral